CAUGAACCUCUUGAUCUUGCUAAAGACUAUAUUUUCAACAACAACAACAAAAAAAAAAACAACCUUGGAUCCAAAGUUCAGUAAGGUCUCCUGUCUGUGUAAUAAGUGACUGUAUCCCAAAGGGAAAAAAAAAAUUGUCUGCCUGAACUUGACUGUCUGAGCUUCUACAGAAAAUAAUCUGAACGAAUUAAAUUCCCCAAUGCUUUGUUUGUAGUGCUAACAGGCCCGAUGCUACACGUUUCCUUUGUAUUGUUGAUAAAGAGUCACUUUACUCUAGCAGUGAAAGUUCAUUCUGUUUUAUUGGCUUUUCCCUUACAUCACCUCUCACUAACUUGCAUGAAACAUGUCUAUAUAUUUCUUAUAAACAGGCUAAAUUUGUGACUAUGGGACAUGCUAAUGCUAUAGCUUUGCUGGUGCUAACAGUGCUAUCGGUAGGAAUUCACGAGGGGGCCCACGUAAAUGAAAUUGGUUAGUUUACUGUUGUUAAUUUGCCGGCUGGUGCUUUUUCCAGAAGCUAAGUGUCACUGUAUAGUGAAGUUAACUAAAAAUAAGCAAAUGGACUUUUAAACAGUUAAAUCUUGUCGAAACGUUUGCCAGAAAGAGUAGAAAGCAAAUGUUGUCACUUACUCUUUGUAUGGAUGUCACAGAGCAACAGGACCUGGAUCUGGGAACCGUAUCGGUUUCAAAAGACUGGACUGCUGUAUGAUGAACAGGACAGCCCAACUCAAGAGCAAAUUUUCCUCAAGACGAAAGAGACAUUUCAAGCAACAAUGAAAGAAGGGCCAGCUAUCCUUUGCCAGGACCUCCACAGCCUGUCUGGUCCUCCUGAGCAGUUACUGCCUUCCCAGCAUUAUCCAGCAGGCCCAUCUGUGAGUUGGAGGACGAGAUCUGAUUGAAGCACGGGAUCUACAGUGCUAAUCUAAUGUACAUAUGAGCAAAUAUGCAGCAAUGCUUUGAAUGAGCAUUAAGCCUCUUCAAAAUGUGUGAAUAUAGAUAAUGAAUAAAUCAGUUCUCUUCAAA
Long non-coding RNA from Xiphophorus couchianus (Monterrey platyfish), 1020 nucleotides. RefSeq lists it as uncharacterized. The transcript is spliced from 3 exons. NCBI's taxonomy places the organism in Eukaryota, Metazoa, Chordata, Actinopteri, Cyprinodontiformes, Poeciliidae. The record is from RefSeq and is a predicted model, not a curated record.